ACCUAAUCGUUGGACUGCGGGAGAUACUGCCGGACUAGGGGGCGGGAGAAGCCGAUGGUAUCUCGGGGUAGGGGUGAAAUCCUGUAAUCCCGGGAGGACCACCAGUGGCGAAGGCGGUCGGCUAGAACGCGCUCGACGGUGAGGGACGAAAGCUGGGGGAGCGAACCGGAUUAGAUACCCGGGUAGUCCCAGCUGUAAACGAUGCGGGCUAGGUGUUGGGGGGGCUACGAGCCUCUUCAGUGCCGCAGCGAAGGCAUUAAGUCCGCCGCCUGGGGAGUACGGCCGCAAGGCUGAAACUUAAAGGAAUUGGCGGGGGAGCACCACAAGGGGUGAAGCUUGCGGUUUAAUUGGAGUCAACGCCGGGAACCUUACCGGGGGCGACAGCAGGAUGAAGGCCAGAUUGAAGGUCUUGCCAGACAAGCUGAGAGGAGGUGCAUGGCCGUCGCCAGUUCGUGCCGUGAGGUGUCCUGUUAAGUCAGGCAACGAUCGAGACCCGCGCCCCCUGUUGCCAGCGGAUCCCGUUGGGAUGCUGGGCACACUGGGGGGACUGCCGCCGACAAGGUGGAGGAGGGAGCGGGCCACGGCAGGUCAGUAUGCCCCGAAUCCCCCGGGCCACACGCGAGCUGCAAUGGCCGGGACAGUGGGUUUCAACCCCGAGAGGGGGAGGUAAUCCCGAAACCCGGCCUCAGUUGGGAUCGAGGGCUGCAACCCGC
RNAcentral lists this ribosomal RNA (713 nucleotides) under uncultured crenarchaeote. RNAcentral describes it as "bacterial SSU rRNA". It matches the Rfam family "Archaeal small subunit ribosomal RNA", at positions 557 to 1271 of the family's 1478-position model. Lineage: Archaea; Thermoproteati; Thermoproteota. The record is from RNAcentral.